Long non-coding RNA from Hordeum vulgare subsp. vulgare (domesticated barley), 1203 nucleotides. RefSeq lists it as uncharacterized. The transcript has 4 exons. NCBI's taxonomy places the organism in Eukaryota, Viridiplantae, Streptophyta, Magnoliopsida, Poales, Poaceae. The record is from RefSeq and is a predicted model, not a curated record.
GGGGGGGGGAUGAAUGGAGGAGGGGGAGGUCCGCCGGGGGGAUGUGAACGACGACGGCCCGGAGAACCACUACAUCGAUUGGGAGAAGGUUUGGGAGGUUUUGGUGCCAAGGGUAAUUCACCGGUUCAUCACCAAGGCACUCAUGCUCAUGGUCACAACAGGGAGGGCCCUCUCACAAUUAGUCAAUGAGUGAACCCAUUGGAAAAAAUUCCUGGCUCCGCCCCUGGUAUCAUGGGGCCCUAUUUUGGCUGGGCCCUGGGCCCUGGGCCGUCUCAUCUUUUGCCAUGGCCUAGAGCCAACCCUACCAUCAUGUGCACUACCAGCAAGGUACGUUAGACCAGUGGCGGAGCUAGCUGAGAAUUUUAGCUGAGAAAAUAUGCACCUUUGGGGAGGCCAAAUAACAACAAUCUUCUUAAUUUAAGGCUCUAAUUUUUUUUUCCUUCAGUAAACAUGCAGCAGCUGGGGGGCAGCGGCCCCCUCAGCAUUGCACAUAGCUCCGCCACUGCAUGCUGCCCCCCUCAGCAUUGCACAUAGCUCCGCCACUGCAUGCUGCCCCCCUCAGCAUUGCACAUAGCUCCGCCACUGCGUUAGACCUCAAAAGUUCUUUCCUAAAUUGCAGGCACUCAUGCUCAUGGUCACAACAGGGCAGGGGCGGACCCACGUUGAUGUGAGUGGGGGCCAUGGCCCCCACUCAAGUUUUGAAAACCCUGUAGAAUUUGAUUGUAUAUUUAGAAAAUAUAUACUAAAACUCUCUAAAUUUAUACAAAAUGUGUUAAAAUUUACCCCCACUCAAGUAUUUUGCCCCCACUCAAUAAAGUUUCUAGGUCCGCCCCUGCAACAGGGAGGACCCUCUCACAAUGAGUCCAUGAGUGCACCCAUUGGAAAAAAUUCCUGGCUCUGCCCCUGAUGAUAUCAUGGGGCCCUAUUUUGGCUGGCCCCCUGGGCUGUCUCAUCUUUUGCCAUGGCCUAGAGCCGACCCUACCAUCAUGUGCACUACCAGCAAGGCACUCAUGCUCAUGGUCACAACAGGGAGGACCCUACCAUAAUUGGAGCUAUUCAGGCUUGUCAAGGUCCAGUGGUGAUAGUGCUACAGAUGCAUCUGCAUGCAUGAUAUGUCUCCCUCAUGCCUCCACUCAAUAUUGUGGCUAGGUCCAACUUGUGAAGGACCUAGCCAGCCAUAAAGUUUGCCCUGGAAACCAUGGG